Molecule: ribosomal RNA, 251 nt
Filed under: uncultured prokaryote
Description: partial 16S rRNA
Rfam family: Bacterial small subunit ribosomal RNA
Source: RNAcentral
ACGGAGGGUGCAAGCGUUAUUCGGAAUUACUGGGCGUAAAGCGCGUGUAGGCGGUCCUGCAAGUCUGAUGUGAAAGCCCCGGGCUUAACCCGGGAAGUGCAUUGGAAACUGCAGGUCUUGAGUACUGGAGAGGAUGGGGGAAUUCCCGGUGUAGAGGUGGAAUUCGUAGAGAGCGGGAGGAAUAGCAGUGGCGAAGGCGCCCAUCUGGACGGUAACUGAUUCUGAGACGCUAAAGCGUGGGGAUCAAACAG